AAGCACCUACGGGGCGCAGCAGUGGGGAAUAUUGCGCAAUGGGGGCAACCCUGACGCAGCAACGCCGCGUGAUUGAAGAAGGCCUUCGGGUUGUAAAGAUCUUUAAUCAGGGACGAAAAAUGACGGUACCUGAAGAAUAAGCUCCGGCUAACUACGUGCCAGCAGCCGCGGUAAUACGUAGGGAGCAAGCGUUAUCCGGAUUUACUGGGUGUAAAGGGCGUGUAGGCGGGCCUGUAAGUCAGAAGUGAAAUCUGGGGGCUUAACCCCCAA
Molecule: ribosomal RNA, 270 nt
Filed under: uncultured bacterium
Lineage: Bacteria
Description: partial 16S ribosomal RNA
Rfam family: Bacterial small subunit ribosomal RNA
Source: RNAcentral